Molecule: unclassified non-coding RNA, 279 nt
Filed under: plant metagenome
Description: partial contains small subunit ribosomal RNA, internal transcribed spacer 1, and 5.8S ribosomal RNA
Source: RNAcentral
UUUCCGUAGGUGAACCUGCGGAAGGAUCAUUCGUAAUAAGGGUUUUAUCGCACUUUUUUAAACAACCCUUCACCUUGUGUACAAUGGUAGGGUCGGUCUCCUUGUCAUCAGCCCCAAACGGCAAGUAUUAUCUCAACUCUUUGUCUGAAACAUAUUAUUAAUAAAACAAUUCAAAAUACAACUUUCAACAACCGAUAUCUUAGCUCUCUCAUCGAUCAAUAACGCAACAGAUCAGAAGGGCACACGUCGGUAUUCCAGUCACGCAUAGUCCACUCGUAU